Molecule: small RNA, 465 nt
Filed under: Pan troglodytes (chimpanzee)
Lineage: Eukaryota; Metazoa; Chordata; Mammalia; Primates; Hominidae
Description: retained intron
Source: RNAcentral
AUUUUAUAUUUUCCAAAAUGAUGAAAUUUCUUCCCAUUUCAAAAUAGUAUUUAUUGUCGAGAUUUACCUGAAUAUUCAAAAGCCACGGUUCUGAGUAAAGAUGAAGUGUCAUUUUCAUUCACCUUUAAAGGAGGUCUUCUAUUCACAUGGCUCAUUAACAAAUAGGAAUGUGCUUUUCCUACUCAAUGUGAUUUAUAGUUACAAGAAUGUUUCUCCCUUCUUGUGACAGGUUUCGUGAUGAGAAAAUGAAAGAAAAACAAAGACACCAAGAGGAAAGGCUAAAAGCUGCUCUGGAAAAAGCAGUAGCACAACCAAAGAAAAAGUUGGGAAGACGACUUGUCUUUCAUUCAAAACCUCCAUCUGGUAACAAACAGCAGCUACCUUUAGUCAAUGAAACAAAAACAAAAUCACAAGAGGAAGAAUAUUUUUUUACUUGAAUAAAAGCAGUAAGACAUUUUAUUACCA